UUACCGGCGGUCUCUGAUUCGCUUGGUGCAGGUCGGGACCUGGUUCCGCCCGCCGUCGAUGAUUCCUCCCCCUCUUCUCGAUCCAUCCCCGAUUCGAGGACCGCUUCGGGCCGCGGGGGAGCUUCCGACGGGGCUCAGGGGGCCGAAUUGGAUCCCGCCUUGCAUCAACUGAAUCGGAGGCCGAGGUGAAU
RNAcentral lists this microRNA precursor (191 nucleotides) under Eucalyptus grandis. RNAcentral's name for it is "MIR168 microRNA precursor family". It matches the Rfam family "MIR168 microRNA precursor family". Lineage: Eukaryota; Viridiplantae; Streptophyta; Magnoliopsida; Myrtales; Myrtaceae. The record is from Rfam by way of RNAcentral.